GACGAAGGAUGCAAGCGUUAUCCGGAUUCAUUGGGUUUAAAGGGUGCGUAGGCGGACUGGUAAGUCAGUGGUGAAAUCUCUUUGCUUAACAAAGAAACUGCCAUUGAUACUGCUAGUCUAGAGUAUAGAUGACGUUGGCGGAAUAUGACAUGUAGUGGUGAAAUACUUAGAUAUGUCAUAGAACACCGAUUGCGAAGGCAGCUAACGAAACUAUAACUGACGCUGAGGCACGAAAGUGCGGGGAUCAAACAGG
RNAcentral lists this ribosomal RNA (253 nucleotides) under uncultured bacterium. Its description in RNAcentral is "partial 16S ribosomal RNA". It matches the Rfam family "Bacterial small subunit ribosomal RNA", at positions 524 to 776 of the family's 1533-position model. RNAcentral also lists the same sequence under 1 other name. The record is from RNAcentral.